This 447-nucleotide ribosomal RNA is filed under the name uncultured bacterium. RNAcentral describes it as "SSU rRNA". It matches the Rfam family "Bacterial small subunit ribosomal RNA", at positions 26 to 518 of the family's 1533-position model. The record is from RNAcentral.
AGAGCGAACGCUGGCGGCAGGCCUAACACAUGCAAGUCGAGCGCCCGUAGCAAUACGGGAGCGGCAGACGGGAUAGUAACACGUGGGAACGCGCCCUUCGGUUCGGAAUAACUCAGGGAAACUUGAGCUAAUACCGGAUACGCCCUUACGGGGAAAGAUUUAUUGCCGAAGGAACGGCCCGCGUCCGAUUAGCUAGUUGGUGAGGUAAUGGCUCACCAAGGCGACGAUCGGUAGCUGGUCUGAGAGGAUGACCAGCAUCACUGGGACUGAGACACGGCCCAGACUCCUACGGGAGGCAGCAGUGGGGAAUAUUGGACAAUGGGCGCAAGCCUGAUCCAGCCAUGCCGCGUGGAUGAUGAAGGCCUUAGGGUUGUAAAGUCCUUUAACGGGGAAGAUAAUGACGGUACCCGUAGAAUAAGCCCCGGCUAACUUCGCGCCAGCAGCCGC